This 686-nucleotide long non-coding RNA is filed under the name Olea europaea subsp. europaea. Lineage: Eukaryota; Viridiplantae; Streptophyta; Magnoliopsida; Lamiales; Oleaceae. The record is from RNAcentral.
UCAAUUUUGUUGUUAGUUGCCAAUGAUAUGGUUCCCUAUUACCUUGUAGUGGUUGGACCCAGAAAAAAGACAUAAUGGGCAGGUUUUGAUUAAUUGAAAGAGAUGUUUAUGGGCUUUGUUGUGAGACAAACUUGAACACUGCAGAAAUUCCUAGCUUUUGACUUGAUAUGUUGACAUUAAUGUAAAUUUCCUUAAGUAGUACAGGAAGUACAUGUUUUACUCGCUGUAAUUGCUGGUGCUCUGAUUAUAGACUAAAAACAAAGAAGUUACAUGUAGCCUUUGGAAGGAUCCUUUUUUCAGUUCAAGUUCCUCUUCCAAAGAGAGAGCAUGGCGGUGAUUAUAUAUUGCCAACAAAAGCUACUCUCUACUUUUAGUGAUAUCUACUAUAAAAUUCAAAUAGUUGAGAGAUAUAAAACAUCAAAGAUAGAUUAUAUCUUCUUAAGUUGGAUAUUGAUGAAUUAUACAUAGUGAUUCUACUAUUAUAGUUAUUACUUCUAGUUCAGAAAUCAUUGCCCUGAAUCUUCUUCUCUACGCAUGAAGGUGAUAACACUGGACUCAGUUUGCAAUCUGUAAUUUUUUAGUGCUGAUCAUUUGCUUCUGAUUUAUAUCUUAGUUGUUCUUAUAUUCUUCCCUUUUAUGGAGGGGUAGGGGUGGGGGUGAGAGGAUCCGUUUAGCUUACUGCCUCA